GAACGCUGGCGGCAUGCCUAAUACAUGCAAGUCGAACGCCAAAUCUUCCUGCUUGCAGGAAGAGGCGGAGUGGCGAACGGGUGAGUAACACGUGAGGAACUUGCCCAUAAGAGGGGGAUAACACCCGGAAACGGGUGCUAAUACCGCAUAGGUUUUCCCACCGCAUGGUGGGAAAAUAAAAGGUGGCUCUGCUACCGCUUAUGGAUAGCCUCGCGGCGCAUUAGCUAGUUGGUAGGGUAAAGGCCUACCAAGGCCAUGAUGCGUAGCCGACUUGAGAGGGUGAUCGGCCACACUGGAACUGAGACACGGUCCAGACUCCUACGGGAGGCAGCAGUAGGGAAUCUUCCACAAUGGGUGCAAGCCUGAUGGAGCAAUGCCGCGUGAGUGAAGAAGGACUUCGGUUCGUAAAGCUCUGUUGUUGGGGAAGAACACGGAUAGGAGUCACUGCCUAUCCCUUGACGGUACCCAACCAGAAAGUCACGGCUAACUACGUGCCAGCAGCCGCGGUAAUACGUAGGUGACAAGCGUUGUCCGGAUUUAUUGGGCGUAAAGCGAGCGCAGGCGGUCCGGUAAGUCUGAUGUGAAAGCCCACGGCUCAACCGUGGAACGGCAUUGGAAACUGGCGGACUUGAAUGUAGCAGAGGAAAGUGGAAUUCCAUGUGUAGCGGUGGAAUGCGUAGAUAUAUGGAGGAACACCA
RNAcentral lists this ribosomal RNA (698 nucleotides) under Alloiococcus otitis. RNAcentral describes it as "bacterial SSU rRNA". It matches the Rfam family "Bacterial small subunit ribosomal RNA", at positions 31 to 711 of the family's 1533-position model. Lineage: Bacteria; Bacillati; Bacillota; Bacilli; Lactobacillales; Carnobacteriaceae. The record is from RNAcentral.